CCUACGGGAGGCAGCAGUGGGGAAUCUUGCGCAAUGGGCGAAAGCCUGACGCAGCCAUGCCGCGUGAAUGAUGAAGGUCUUAGGAUUGUAAAAUUCUUUCACCGGGGACGAUAAUGACGGUACCCGGAGAAGAAGCCCCGGCUAACUUCGUGCCAGCAGCCGCGGUAAUACGAAGGGGGCUAGCGUUGCUCGGAAUUACUGGGCGUAAAGGGAGCGUAGGCGGAUAGUUUAGUCAGAGGUGAAAGCCCAGGGCUCAACCUUGGAAUUGCCUUUGAUACUGGCUAUCUUGAGUGUGGGAGAGGUUAGCGGAACUCCGAGUGUAGAGGUGAAAUUCGUAGAUAUUCGGAAGAACACCAGUGGCGAAGGCGGCUAACUGGCCCAUUACUGACGCUGAGGCUCGAAAGCGUGGGGAGCAAACAGGAUUAGAUACCCUGGUAGUCCACGCCGUAAACGAUGAGUGCUAGUUGUCGGCAUGCAUGCAUGUCGGUGACGCAGCUACGACAUAAGACACUCCGCCGUCGGGAGGUACGGUCGCGAAGAAUUAAACUUAAAGUAAGUAGUAGACGCGAGAGAGCGACGACGACGACGACGGAGGAGGAG
This 600-nucleotide ribosomal RNA is filed under the name uncultured bacterium. RNAcentral's name for it is "bacterial SSU rRNA". It matches the Rfam family "Bacterial small subunit ribosomal RNA", at positions 338 to 955 of the family's 1533-position model. The record is from RNAcentral.